GGACGAACGCUGGCGGCGUGCUUAACACAUGCAAGUCACGGGGGUCCCGCAAGGGAUAACCGGCGAACGGGUGCGUAACACGUGAACAACCUGCCCUCGUGUGGGGGAUAGCCAUGCUAACGCGUGGGUAAUACCGCAUACGUUCCCCUGGAGGAGUCUCUGGGGGAGGAAAGCUCCGGCGCACGGGGAGGGGUUCGCGGCCUAUCAGCUAGUUGGCGGGGUAAUGGCCCACCAAGGCGACGACGGGUAGCUGGUCNGAGAGGAUGGCCAGCCACAUUGGGACUGAGAGACGGCCCAGACUCCUACGGGAGGCAGCAGGUGGGGAAUCUUGCGCAAUGGCCGAAAGGCUGACGCAGCGACGCCGCGUGUGGGAUGAAGCAUUUCGGUGUGUAAACCACUGUUGCCCGGGACGAACAGCUGUUUCGANAGGUCUGACGGUACCGGGUGAGGAAGCACCGGCUAACUCCGUGCCAG
This 474-nucleotide ribosomal RNA is filed under the name uncultured bacterium. RNAcentral describes it as "bacterial SSU rRNA". It matches the Rfam family "Bacterial small subunit ribosomal RNA", at positions 27 to 511 of the family's 1533-position model. The record is from RNAcentral.